GACGAACGCUGGCGGCGUGCUUAACACAUGCAAGUCGAACGGGGGCUCCUUCUUCGGUUGGGGUUCUAGUGGCGAACGGGUGAGUAACACGUGGGCAACCUGCCCCUGGCUCUGGGAUAACUCCAAGAAAUUGGGGCUAAUACCGGAUAUGACCGCUGAUCGCAUGGUCUGGUGGUGGAAAGAUUUAUCGGCUGGGGAUGGGCCCGCGGCCUAUCAGCUUGUUGGUGGGGUAGUGGCCUACCAAGGCGACGACGGGUAGCCGGCCUGAGAGGGUGACCGGCCACACUGGGACUGAGACACGGCCCAGACUCCUACGGGAGGCAGCAGUGGGGAAUAUUGCGCAAUGGGCG
Molecule: ribosomal RNA, 350 nt
Filed under: uncultured bacterium
Lineage: Bacteria
Description: bacterial SSU rRNA
Rfam family: Bacterial small subunit ribosomal RNA
Source: RNAcentral